Molecule: ribosomal RNA, 465 nt
Filed under: Vreelandella stevensii
Lineage: Bacteria; Pseudomonadati; Pseudomonadota; Gammaproteobacteria; Oceanospirillales; Halomonadaceae
Description: partial 16S ribosomal RNA
Rfam family: Bacterial small subunit ribosomal RNA
Source: RNAcentral
CCUACGGGCGGCUGCAGUGGGGAAUAUUGGACAAUGGGGGGAACCCUGAUCCAGCCAUGCCGCGUGUGUGAAGAAGGCCCUCGGGUUGUAAAGCACUUUCAGUGAGGAAGAACGCCUGGUGGUUAAUACCCAUCAGGAAAGACAUCACUCACAGAAGAAGCACCGGCUAACUCCGUGCCAGCAGCCGCGGUAAUACGGAGGGUGCGAGCGUUAAUCGGAAUUACUGAGCGUAAAGCGCGCGUAGGUGGCUUGAUAAGCCGGUUGUGAAAGCCCCGGGCUCAACCUGGGAACGGCAUCCGGAACUGUCAAGCUAGAGUGCAGGAGAGGAAGGUAGAAUUCCCGGUGUAGCGGUGAAAUGCGUAGAGAUCGGGAGGAAUACCAGUGGCGAAGGCGGCCUUCUGGACUGACACUGACACUGAGGUGCGAAAGCGUGGGUAGCAAACAGGAUUAGAUACCCCAGUAGUC